Long non-coding RNA from Lucilia cuprina (Australian sheep blowfly), 663 nucleotides. RefSeq lists it as uncharacterized. Lineage: Eukaryota; Metazoa; Arthropoda; Insecta; Diptera; Calliphoridae. The record is from RefSeq and is a predicted model, not a curated record. The transcript is spliced from 3 exons.
AUUUAUAAAAAAACAAUCUAUACACAGUGUACUUUACAAUAAAAAUAAGAAAUCCUUUACAAUUUUUCAUAUUUUUAUUUUACGAGAAAACGCACUUCCAUUUCUCUAGUCGGCAAACGGUGGCUUAGAAAUCGAUUUUAUCGACCAAAAGAAAAAUGUUUUGUUUAUAAUUUCAAUCUCAUAGCAAAAACAUUAAUACUUAUGUAGCUAAGUUUCUAGUGGAACCAGUUCUGGAAAUGAUAAAGUUGGAACACAUUCUCAAAAUUAUCGUGAACAAAGCAAAAUUAGAGAUUUCAUGCACUUAAUUUAUAUGGAAGAUUCUAUAGUCGGGCCUGGCUGACCAUAUGAUACCCUACUCCAGUGAAUAGCAACUUUGUAUGGGGGCUAGAGUCAAAUGAAGCUCGAUCAUUACGAAAAUCACCAGUAACUUUCAGACUUGCCAAAACUAAGUUGUGCUAAUUUUGGUAGAAUUACUAAAACAUUUAACAUAAUUAUGGACUCAAUAGCCCUAUUUAGAGGGUGUGGCUGUAUCAGAGCUAGGUGAAAUAAUAAACCGAUUUUAAUCAUUUUCAAUAGAUAUUGUCCCUGUGUCAAAAUAAACGUUUGUGUCAAGUUUCAUGAUUAUUUUGAAAAUUACUAUAUCAAUCCAAAAAAUGAUUAUGA